This 301-nucleotide ribosomal RNA is filed under the name uncultured bacterium. RNAcentral describes it as "partial 16S ribosomal RNA". It matches the Rfam family "Bacterial small subunit ribosomal RNA", at positions 509 to 807 of the family's 1533-position model. The record is from RNAcentral.
CAGUCGCCGCGGGAACACGUAGGGUGCAAGCGUUAAUCGGAAUUACUGGGCGUAAAGCGUGCGCAGGCGGUUAUAUAAGACAGAUGUGAAAUCCCCGGGCUCAACCUGGGAACUGCAUUUGUGACUGUAUAGCUAGAGUACGGCAGAGGGGGAUGGAAUUCCGCGUGUAGCAGUGAAAUGCGUAGAUAUGCGGAGGAACACCGAUGGCGAAGGCAAUCCCCUGGGCCUGUACUGACGCUCAUGCACGAAAGCGUGGGGAGCAAACAGGAUUAGAUACCCCCGUAGUCCCUGUCUCUUAUAC